Molecule: ribosomal RNA, 253 nt
Filed under: uncultured bacterium
Lineage: Bacteria
Description: partial 16S ribosomal RNA
Rfam family: Bacterial small subunit ribosomal RNA
Source: RNAcentral
UACAGAGGGGGCUAGCGUUGUUCGGAAUUACUGGGCGUAAAGGGCGCGUAGGCGGCCCGCUAAGUCGAACGUGAAAUCCCCAGGCUCAACCUGGGAACUGCGUCCGAUACUGGCAGGCUUGAAUCCGGGAGAGGGAUGUGGAAUUCCAGGUGUAGCGGUGAAAUGCGUAGAUAUCUGGAGGAACACCGGUGGCGAAGGCGGCAUCCUGGACCGGUAUUGACGCUGAGGCGCGAAAGCUAGGGGAGCAAACGGG